AUUGAACGCUGGCGGCAGGCCUAACACAUGCAAGUCGAGCGGCAGCGGGACCUUCGGGUUGCCGGCGAGCGGCGGACGGGUGAGUAAUGCCUAGGAAUCUGCCUGUUAGUGGGGGAUAACGCGGGGAAACUCGCGCUAAUACCGCAUACGUCCUACGGGAGAAAGCGGGGGCUCUUCGGACCUCGCGCUAACAGAUGAGCCUAGGUCGGAUUAGCUAGUUGGUGGGGUAAUGGCCCAACAAGGCGACGAUCCGUAACUGGUCGGAGAGGAUGAUCAGUCACACUGGAACUGGUACACGGUCCAGGCGCCUACGGGAGUCAGCAGUGGGGAAUAUUGGACAAUGGGGGAAAGCCUGAUCCAGCCAUGCCGCGUGUGUGAAGAAGUUCUUCGGAUUGUAAAGCACUUUAAGUCGGGAGGAAGAGCUGUAGGCUAAUACCUUGCAGUUUUGACGUUACCGACAGAAUAAGCACCGGCUAACUUCGUGCCAGCAGCCGCCGUAA
RNAcentral lists this ribosomal RNA (500 nucleotides) under uncultured bacterium. Its description in RNAcentral is "partial 16S ribosomal RNA". It matches the Rfam family "Bacterial small subunit ribosomal RNA", at positions 30 to 523 of the family's 1533-position model. The record is from RNAcentral.